AUGGCGAAGCAUCAUCCUGAUCUCAUCAUGUGCCGGAAGCAGCCUGGCAUUGCUAUUGGUCGCCUGUGUGAGAAGUGUGAUGGCAAGUGCGUCAUCUGUGACUCGUACGUGCGCCCAUGUACGCUUGUCCGGGUCUGCGACGAGUGCAACUACGGCUCGUUCCAGGGAAGGUGCGUCAUCUGCGGCGGAGUUGGCAUCUCAGACGCCUACUACUGCAAAGAGUGCACGCAGCAGGAGAAGGACCGAGAUGGGUGCCCCAAGAUUGUCAACCUUGGAAGCGCCAAGACCGAUCUCUUCUACGAGCGCAAGAAGUACGGUUUUAAGAAGAGAUGA
This 333-nucleotide ribosomal RNA is filed under the name Triticum aestivum (bread wheat). RNAcentral describes it as "partial small subunit ribosomal RNA". The record is from RNAcentral. Lineage: Eukaryota; Viridiplantae; Streptophyta; Magnoliopsida; Poales; Poaceae.